Molecule: ribosomal RNA, 369 nt
Filed under: uncultured Gammaproteobacteria bacterium
Lineage: Bacteria; Pseudomonadati; Pseudomonadota; Gammaproteobacteria
Description: bacterial SSU rRNA
Rfam family: Bacterial small subunit ribosomal RNA
Source: RNAcentral
CGGGAACUCUGUGACAGGUGUGCAUGGCUGUCGUCACUCGUGUCGUGAGAUGUUGGGUUAAGUCCCGUAACGAGCGCAACCCCUAUCCUUAUUUGCCAGCACAUAUGGUGGGAACUAUAAGGAGACUGCCGGUGAUAAACCGGAGGAAGGGGGGACGACGUCAAGUCAUCAUGGCCCUUACGGGAUGGGCUACACACGUGCUACAAUGGCAGGUACAGAGGGCAGCAAUACCGCGAGGUGGAGCGAAUCCCACAAAGCUUGUCGUAGUCCGGAUUGGAGUCUGCAACUCGACUCCAUGAAGUCGGAAUCGCUGUAAUCGUAGAUCAGAAUGCACGGUGAAUACGUUCCCGGGCCUUGUACACACCGCCC